Long non-coding RNA from Bos taurus (domestic cattle), 936 nucleotides. NCBI's taxonomy places the organism in Eukaryota, Metazoa, Chordata, Mammalia, Artiodactyla, Bovidae. The record is from Ensembl.
UUUGGCAGUACUUGACAAGUUUGGCUGACUCUGUCUUACAAAGCCUCAAACAGAUGCAUUCAGCUUGCUGCUGGUCUCCCAAGUUCCCAAGUGCCAGAACAAGGUAGCCAAGAGUGAUCAGCUGUGGAGAAACCUGUGUCUGAGAAAAUGGAGCUUCUGCAUCUUCUCCAGUCAGUGCCUGGGCGCACAGACACACAGCAGUGUUCCUCAGACAAAGCAGGAGUGCUGGAUGACGCUGGCACAUCAGACACUCUGUCUACAAAGCAGCAGCUGGGAACCUCAGUGUACGGCAGAGAGUACGCUAGAGGAGCAACACCAUGAAUUUCAUUGGCCUUUCUUGACGUGACAUCAGUUGUGUGUAUUUUCAUGCUACUUCUCUCCAUGCAUGAGGAACCCAGGCAUUUCAAGUUGAGAAAACAUUUCACAGCAGAAGCUAAAUAUUCUGAACUUGCAAGCAACAAGAUGAGAAACAUGAUCUCUCUGUUUCAGAUUCACAGAUACUUUACAGAUCUCAAAUAUUUACUCAUCUCCUGCUCAUCGGCCUCUAGGACUGAGUGAUCACCCAUGUGUUGUAGAAGGAAAAUUCUCAAGCUUUGACAUUCAACUACCUGGGUUCCAAACUCAACUGUACCACUUAGCAGCUCUGUGCCCAGUCACGUCAACUCUUUGCAGCCCCAUGGACUAUAGUCCACCAGGCUCCUCUGCCCAUGGAAUUUUCCAGGCAAGAAUACUAGAGUGGGUUGCCAUUUCCUUUUCCAGGGGAUCUUCCCGACACCGUGAUCAAAACCACAUCUCCUGUGUCUCCUGCAUUGGCAGGCAGAUUCUUUACCAUUCGUGCAACCUAGGAAGCCCAGUAGCUUAUGAGCUUGGGCAAAUCACCUCAUCAUGUGUGAAAUGAAGAUAUAACUGUAUCUAAUUGAUAAAGCUGGUACCUGG